AGAAGCUGCAGGUGUGCUGUGUCACAUGCAUCAGCACAGACAGGCUGUCUGUGCUCAGUGUUCAGAUCUGUGAAUAUCUGAAUGAUUAGUAGCCUAAUACU
This 101-nucleotide small nucleolar RNA is filed under the name Meriones unguiculatus (Mongolian gerbil). RNAcentral's name for it is "Small nucleolar RNA SNORA17 (ENSMUGG00000007354.1)". It matches the Rfam family "Small nucleolar RNA SNORA17". Rfam says of the family: snoRNA ACA 17 belongs to the H/ACA family of snoRNAs and is predicted to guide pseudouridylation of the 28S rRNA at positions U4659 and U4598. It shares the same host gene together with ACA43. The record is from RNAcentral. Lineage: Eukaryota; Metazoa; Chordata; Mammalia; Rodentia; Muridae.